RNAcentral lists this transfer-messenger RNA (360 nucleotides) under Candidatus Latescibacterota. RNAcentral describes it as "GCA-2709665 sp002709665 Standard tmRNA". It matches the Rfam family "transfer-messenger RNA". Rfam says of the family: Bacterial tmRNA, also known as 10Sa RNA or SsrA, is named for its dual tRNA and mRNA-like properties. Its role is to liberate the mRNA from a stalled ribosome. RNAcentral also lists the same sequence under 3 other names. The record is from RNAcentral. Lineage: Bacteria; Pseudomonadati.
GGGGGCGACCUGGCUUCGACGGGGGUGGAGAGGCGAUGGCUGCGUGUCGAGGUCCCAAUCCUCGUUAAACAAUGGGAACCUAUUUUAAUUGCGGACAAUUCGUACGCAAUGGCUGCGUAAUUAAAGCGUAGCCCGUUCCGCCGGAUCAGGCCCGUGGGAUCUGACCGGAGCGCCGACUUAAGCGGGCUGGCUCGUGGGCCUCCGCUCGAAGGACCAGGAGUAAGAUCUUAAUCGAGCUGGCGUAACAUCAACCCUGUUUACCGGGGUGGCGUUGCACGAGAUUUAAAAGGUAAACUACACACGUAGACGCUGUCGGUGAACUGCUUUCGGACGCGGGUUCGAUUCCCGCCGCCUCCACCA